Molecule: long non-coding RNA, 858 nt
Organism: Anolis carolinensis (green anole)
Lineage: Eukaryota; Metazoa; Chordata; Lepidosauria; Squamata; Anolidae
Exons: 3
Source: RefSeq, a predicted model, not a curated record
AUGGGUGGGCCAGGAGGAACUUAGUUAAAUAUACUUACCAAUAAUUACAUACUUAGGUAUAAGGUUAUGUACAGUUAUACACGCUUAACUAUAUAGUUAAGCAUACUUAAGUAUAUAGUAUAUAUUUCACUAAGUAGCUGGCUUAGAAACUUGGUUUAGAUCUGCUACUGAACCAAGAGGCUCAGUGCCUGUGUAUUUUCUGUUUUUUUGCCCAAUAAUAAUAGAAGUUGGAAGAGACCACAAGGGCGACAUACCUUUUUCUCUUCCACUCCUUGACAAUUGUAAACAGCAGAGCAUUAGAUUUACGACAAGCAGCCAUAGAUAAGGGAAGGAAAGAAGGAAAAGUGGGGAAACUUGCAAAACGGCUGGUUGUAACCAGACUUCAAUAUCUUGGCAAUUGUUCCAAGGGCCUGCUCCAUAUCUGGAAAAUAACAGUAUUGCCAACGCCUGUCUGGAUCAGGCACACAACACUUUGGCAAGAAACUCCUCAUCUAAAUUUAUCACCCAACUCUCCUCCCAGGAGCUUAAAUGCUUUGGGAAGCCAGGCAAUAUGAGAAUCUGGAACAAGACCUACCCAUGGAAUUUUGCAAAGCUUCCAGGAUGUACAUAUAUGAGAGCAGACUUCCAGAACCGUUCUGCUCCACUUUCACAGCAUUGCAUCUGGGCAGGAUAUGCAGCCCCAAGGGAAUGCCAAAGCACACAAUAUUCCUCCUGACUGGCAGGAUCCAAGCCUUCAAGUUUGCCUGUUGACUGGCCAGCAUGGAAUCUGGUUUGAUGCCCACUAGACAGAAGUUUCACCAGCUUUUCCAGAUAAUGAUGUCAUCCAUGACUCUUGUUGAAAUAUAGUGAGAAAGCAUA